GGGAUCCUACGGGGCGCAGCAGUGAGGAAUAUUGGUCAAUGGGCGGAAGCCUGAACCAGCCAAGUCGCGUGAGGGAAUAAGGCCCUACGGGUCGUAAACCUCUUUUGCCGGGGAGCAAGGGCCGGGACGAGUCCCGGUCCGGAGAGUACCCGGAGAAAAAGCAUCGGCUAACUCCGUGCCAGCAGCCGCGGUAAUACGGAGUAUGCGAGCGUUAUCCGGAUUUAUUGGGGUUAAAGGGUGCGUAGGCGGGGUUUUUAGUCAGCGGCA
RNAcentral lists this ribosomal RNA (267 nucleotides) under uncultured bacterium. Its description in RNAcentral is "partial 16S ribosomal RNA". It matches the Rfam family "Bacterial small subunit ribosomal RNA", at positions 333 to 596 of the family's 1533-position model. The record is from RNAcentral.